Molecule: ribosomal RNA, 497 nt
Filed under: uncultured bacterium
Lineage: Bacteria
Description: partial 16S ribosomal RNA
Rfam family: Bacterial small subunit ribosomal RNA
Source: RNAcentral
GACGAACGCUGGCGGCGUGCCUAAUACAUGCAAGUUGAGCGCUGAAGGUUGGUACUUGUACCAACUGGAUGAGCAGCGAACGGGUGAGUAACGCGUGGGGAAUCUGCCUUUGAGCGGGGGACAACAUUUGGAAACGAAUGCUAAUACCGCAUAAAAACUUUAAACACAAGUUUUAAGUUUGAAAGAUGCAAUUGCAUCACUCAAAGAUGAUCCCGCGUUGUAUUAGCUAGUUGGUGAGGUAAAGGCUCACCAAGGCGAUGAUACAUAGCCGACCUGAGAGGGUGAUCCGCCACAUUGGGACUGAGACACGGCCCAAACUCCUACGGGAGGCAGCAGUAGGGAAUCUUCGGCAAUGGACGAAAGUCUGAACGAGCAACGCCGCGUGAGUGAAGAAGGUUUUCGGAUCGUAAAACUCUGUUGGUAGAGAAGAACGUUGGUGAGAGUGGAAAGCUCAUCAAGUGACGGUAACUACCCAGAAAGGGACGGCUAACUACGUG